UACAGAGGGGGCAAGCGUUGUUUGGAAUUACUGGGCGUAAAGGGCGCGUAGGCGGCCUUCUAAGUCGAACGUGAAAUCCCCGGGCUCAACCCGGGAACUGCGUCCGAUACUGGAGGGCUUGAAUCCGGGAGAGGGAUGUGGAAUUCCAGGUGUAGCGGUGAAAUGCGUAGAUAUCUGGAGGAACACCGGUGGCGAAGGCGACAUCCUGGACCGGUAUUGACGCUGAGGCGCGAAAGCCAGGGGAGCAAACGGG
Molecule: ribosomal RNA, 253 nt
Filed under: uncultured bacterium
Lineage: Bacteria
Description: partial 16S ribosomal RNA
Rfam family: Bacterial small subunit ribosomal RNA
Source: RNAcentral